ACAGAGGCGGCAAGCGUUGUUCGGAAUUAUUGGGCGUAAAGAGCUCGUAGGCGGUUCGAUAAGUCGGCGGUGAAAGUCCGGGACCUAACUCCGGAAGGUCCGUCGAUACUGUCGAACCUGAGUCUGGUAGGGGAGUGCGGAAUUCCUGGUGUAGCGGUGAGAUGCGCAGAUAUCAGGAGGAACACCGGUGGCGAAGGCGGCACUCUGGGCCAGUACUGACGCUGAGGAGCGAAAGCUAGGGGAGCAAACAG
This 251-nucleotide ribosomal RNA is filed under the name uncultured prokaryote. RNAcentral describes it as "partial 16S ribosomal RNA". It matches the Rfam family "Bacterial small subunit ribosomal RNA", at positions 525 to 775 of the family's 1533-position model. The record is from RNAcentral.